This 72-nucleotide transfer RNA is filed under the name Phrynosoma platyrhinos (Desert horned lizard). RNAcentral's name for it is "tRNA-OTHER". The record is from RNAcentral. Lineage: Eukaryota; Metazoa; Chordata; Lepidosauria; Squamata; Phrynosomatidae.
GUCAGAGUGGUGUAGUGGUUUGAGCAUUUGACUAUGACUCUGGAGACCAGGGUUUGAAUCCUCACUCUGCCA